UGGCGGACGGGUGAGUAACGCGUGGAAAACCUGCCGUAUACUGGGGGAUAACACUUAGAAAUAGGUGCUAAUACCGCAUAAGCGCACAGCUUCGCAUGAAGCGGUGUGAAAAACUCUGGGUGGGUAUACGAUGGUUCCGCGUCUGAUUAGCUAGUUGGUGGGGUAAUGGCCUACCAAGGCAACGAUCAGUAGCCGGCCUGAGAGGGUGAACGGCCACAUUGGGACUGAGACACGGCCCAGACUCCUACGGAAGGCAGCAG
This 260-nucleotide ribosomal RNA is filed under the name uncultured bacterium. Its description in RNAcentral is "partial 16S ribosomal RNA". It matches the Rfam family "Bacterial small subunit ribosomal RNA", at positions 96 to 354 of the family's 1533-position model. The record is from RNAcentral.